GUUCCUGCAGGGUCAUUGGGCCUGAAAUGCCAUCCGCUGACCUACUUGCUGCAGCAGCCAAGCUAACAGAAGCUGAAGCAGAACUAAGAGAGGCUGAGUUGGAUGGAGACGACGAUCUAUUUAUAGGACCUCCACCUCCUGCUGUUGUUAAAGAAGCUGAGUCUACAAAUGAAGCUGAGCGUUUUGAGGAGAUUACAAGAAUAAUUGGUGCCGAGGCAGAUAGUCCAUAUGCUGGGUACUAAAGGUGGAACUGCAGUGCUUAGUAAUUGCUUUCUCUUCACUUGGCCAUUCUUGCAUCUUUUCCUGCUCUAUUGACUUGUAUACAUUAUUUUUUUCUGGAUGAAGUUGUUUGCUGAUAUUUUAUUGUUUAGGUAUUGGAAGUUGUCUCUAAUGGUUCAUCCUG
This is a long non-coding RNA of Salvia miltiorrhiza (redroot sage), 403 nucleotides long. RefSeq lists it as uncharacterized. The transcript is spliced from 3 exons. The record is from RefSeq and is a predicted model, not a curated record. NCBI's taxonomy places the organism in Eukaryota, Viridiplantae, Streptophyta, Magnoliopsida, Lamiales, Lamiaceae.